Long non-coding RNA from Rhincodon typus (whale shark), 455 nucleotides. RefSeq lists it as uncharacterized. Lineage: Eukaryota; Metazoa; Chordata; Chondrichthyes; Orectolobiformes; Rhincodontidae. The transcript has 3 exons. The record is from RefSeq and is a predicted model, not a curated record.
AAGGGGCCGUUUUACAACUUUCAGAACCAGAAUCCUUGGGGAUCAAAAUUUCUGGUCCAGAAAUCCUUGUUGCGCUGUUGUAGUCAUGGGAGGGUCUUCCUGCGAAGAAGCUGCUUGUAAAUAUAAUAAAGAAAGGCUGAGAAGAUGAUCAGGUGGUAACCUUGUGAAAUGAGACGGAAGUAAAGACAGCAACAGCAGAGAAAUCAAUUUACCCAGAAAAGUAUUUAAGACACGCAGAAAAGACCAAUACCCCGAGUUUAGCUCCUUCAGGGAAGAAGGGGUGUACCUUCCAUCUCUCAAUUCUUCAGAAUCUUGCCACUGAUCACCACAAAGGAACCAUAAAAGAGACUCUGUUUUACUGCUCCUGCUGAUGUCCCUCACUGUCAUGACCUGCUGGUGGAGGAUGCCCCCAACAAACUCCUUCUGAUCCCUUGCUCAGUGCUCUCCAACACCAU